GAGGAAGGAACUUGAUGAUGGGAAGGAUCUCGGGAUGCCGGAUGGGGUGCUGAUUAACGGCAAGGGUCCGUAUCAGUACAACAGUUCUCUGGUUCCGGCGGGGAUUGACCCCUUUACUCUGAAAGUUCAGCCAGGCAAGACGUAUAGGAUUCGUGUGCACAACGUGGGCAUAUCCACUAGCUUAAACUUCAGGAUCCAAAACCAC
Molecule: unclassified non-coding RNA, 205 nt
Filed under: Hevea brasiliensis (rubber tree)
Lineage: Eukaryota; Viridiplantae; Streptophyta; Magnoliopsida; Malpighiales; Euphorbiaceae
Source: RNAcentral